Molecule: ribosomal RNA, 253 nt
Filed under: uncultured bacterium
Lineage: Bacteria
Description: partial 16S ribosomal RNA
Rfam family: Bacterial small subunit ribosomal RNA
Source: RNAcentral
UACGGAGGGUGCAAGCGUUAAUCGGAAUUACUGGGCGUAAAGCGCGCGCAGGCGGUCUGUUAAGUCGGAUGUGAAAGCCCCGAGCUGAACCUGGGAACUGCAUUUGAAACUGGCUGGCUAGAGUCUUGUAGAGGGGGGUAGAAUUCCAUGUGUAGCGGUGAAAUGCGUAGAGAUGUGGAGGAAUACCGGUGGCGAAGGCGGCCCCCUGGACAAAGACUGACGCUCAGGUGCGAAAGCGUGGGGAGCAAACAGG